AUUGAACGCUGGCGGCAUGCUUUACACAUGCAAGUCGAACGGCAGCGCGGGCUUCGGCCUGGCGGCGAGUGGCGAACGGGUGAGUAAUACAUCGGAACGUGCCCAGUAGUGGGGGAUAGCUCGGCGAAAGCCGGAUUAAUACCGCAUACGACCUGAGGGUGAAAGCGGGGGAUCUUCGGACCUCGCGCUAUUGGAGCGGCCGAUGGCAGAUUAGCUAGUUGGUGGGGUAAAGGCCUACCAAGGCGACGAUCUGUAGCUGGUCUGAGAGGACGACCAGCCACACUGGGACUGAGACACGGCCCAGACUCCUACGGGAGGCAGCAGUGGGGAAUUUUGGACAAUGGGCGAAAGCCUGAUCCAGCAAUGCCGCGUGUUUGAUGAAGGCCUUCGGGUUGUAAAGCACUUUUGGCGGGAACGAAAAGGACUGUGCCAAUACCACGGUUCGAUGACGGUACCCGCAGAAUAAGCACCGGCUAACUACGUG
Molecule: ribosomal RNA, 484 nt
Filed under: uncultured bacterium
Lineage: Bacteria
Description: partial 16S ribosomal RNA
Rfam family: Bacterial small subunit ribosomal RNA
Source: RNAcentral